Molecule: ribosomal RNA, 468 nt
Filed under: uncultured bacterium
Lineage: Bacteria
Description: partial 16S ribosomal RNA
Rfam family: Bacterial small subunit ribosomal RNA
Source: RNAcentral
GACGAACGCUGGCGGCGUGCUUAACACAUGCAAGUCGAACGGAAAGGCCCUGCUUUUGUGGGGUGCUCGAGUGGCGAACGGGGGAGUAACACGUGAGUAACCUGCCCUUGACUUUGGGAUAACUUCAGGAAACUGGGGCUAAUACCGGAUAGGAGCUCCUGCUGCAUGGUGGGGGGUGGAAAGUUUCGGCGGUUGGGGAUGGACUCGCGGCUUAUCAGCUUAUUGGUGGGGUAGUGGCUUACCAGGGCUUUGACGGGUAGCCGGCCUGAGAGGGUGACCGGCCACAUUGGGCUUGAGAUACGGCCCAGCCUCCUACGGGAGGCAGCAGUGGGGAAUAUUGCACAAUGGGCGGAAGCCUGAUCCAGCAACGCCGCGUGCGGGAUGACGGCCUUCGGGUUGUAAACCGCUUUCGCCUGUGACGAAGCGUGAGUGACGGUAAUGGGUAAAGAAGCACCGGCUAACUACGUG